AGUGAACGCUGGCGGUAGGCCUAACACAUGCAAGUCGAACGGCAGCACAGUAAGAGCUUGCUCUUACGGGUGGCGAGUGGCGGACGGGUGAGGAAUACAUCGGAAUCUACUUUUUCGUGGGGGAUAACGUAGGGAAACUUACGCUAAUACCGCAUACGACCUACGGGUGAAAGCAGGGGAUCUUCGGACCUUGUGCGAUUGAAUGAGCCGAUGUCGGAUUAGCUAGUUGGCGGGGUAAAGGCCCACCAAGGCGACGAUCCGUAGCUGGUCUGAGAGGAUGAUCAGCCACACUGGAACGGAGACACGGUCCAGACUCCUACGGGAGGCAGCAGUGGGGAAUAUUGGACAAUGGGCGCAAGCCUGAUCCAGCCAUACCGCGUGGGUGAAGAAGGCCUUCGGGUUGUAAAGCCCUUUUGUUGGGAAAGAAAAGCAGCAGGUUAAUACCCCGCUGUUCUGACGGUACCCAAAGAAUAAGCACCGGCUAACUUCGUG
Molecule: ribosomal RNA, 492 nt
Filed under: uncultured bacterium
Lineage: Bacteria
Description: partial 16S ribosomal RNA
Rfam family: Bacterial small subunit ribosomal RNA
Source: RNAcentral